UAACCAAACAAACAGCUAAAACCAAUUCAAGAAAGCCUCCUUGCCGCUUUGGUUGUUCUGCUUCUCUCUCUCUCUAAAACUCUCUCUCUCUCAACAUUUAUCGAUUGCCGAGGUCUCAUUCCUCUGCGAACUCAAAUGUAGCGCCUUCGAUCCUGUUAGGGUUUCGAUUUCUGAAUCGUCUUUUGUCGAUUGCCUUCUGUUUGAUUCUAGACAUUUAGGGUUUUCAUUAGGGGGGGUGGGGGGGUUUCAGUGGUCUGUAGACAUGAAGGAUUUGAAUUCGGAUGUUUUUGACCCAACGGCUGGGAUGGAUUCGGAUUAUUCGCGUGCCUCUUGUUCUUCACCAUCCGACGCGGAUUUUGGAUUCGCUUUUAACGAUAGUAAUUUCUCUGAUCGGUUGCUUCGGAUUGAGAUUAUGGGGGAACUGGAGGAGGCCCGUCCAGAUUCUGUGGGAUGUACGAGCAUCCUCGAUUGGGCUCGACGGAAGAGACGGAGAGAAGAUUGCAAGAAGGAUAACGUUGUCGAUCUAAAUGGAUGCCCUGAGGAGCAAGUCUUAAAUGGAAGCCAUCCUGAUAUGGAUGAUGGCAUACCUUGUGACAAUCUAGAUGAUGAACCUGCUCAAAUGAUUGAAGAGCUACAUUCAGGUGAUGAAGCUGCAAAUGGCGAUGAAUCAAGCUGGGGGAUGGAUUGUUCUACUGUUAUUAAAGUCAAAACGUUGCAUAUCAGCUCUCCAAUUUUGGCUGCUAAAAGCCCUUUUUUCUACAAGCUUUUCUCUAAUGGGAUGAGGGAGUCUGAACAGCGGAAUGUGACCUUACGAAUCAAUGCCUCAGAGGAAGCUGCACUAAUGGAGUUGCUGAAUUUUAUGUAUAGCAAUACCCUAUCUUGUAGCACUGCUUUGUCUUUGCUUGAUGUGCUUAUGGCCGCCGACAAAUUUGAGGUUGCUUCAUGCAUGAGGUAUUGCAGCAGACUUUUAAGAAAUUUACCCAUGACACCUGAGUCUGCAUUGCUAUAUCUAGAGCUUCCAUCCAGUGUCUUAAUGGCUGAAGCAGUCCAACCAUUGACUGAUGCAGCAAAGCAGUAUCUUGCUGUUCGCUACAAGGACAUAACCAAGUACCAGGAUGAGGUUAUGGCUUUGCCUCUUGCAGGAGUGGAGGCAAUAUUGUGUAGUGACGAUCUACAGGUUGCAUCAGAGGAUGCAGUAUACGAUUUCAUCUUGAAGUGGGCUAGAUCUCAGUAUUCAAGGUUGGAGGAGAGGCGAGAAGUGCUGGGGGCCAGACUUGCACGUUAUAUUCGAUUCCCCUUUAUGACCUGUCGAAAGCUUAAGAAAGUCCUGACCUGCAAUGACUUCGACCACGAGGUUGCUUGCAAACUUGUGCUUGAGGCCCUUUUCUUCAAGGCGGAGGCCCCUCACCGACAGAGAAUCAUAGCUGCGGAUGAGUCGGCUUCCUCAAACCGCCGAUUCUUUAUUGAGAGAGCAUACAAAUACCGUCCAGUCAAGGUUGUUGAGUUUGAUUGCCCUCGGCAGCAGUGUGUAGUAUACCUGGACCUAAAGCGGGAAGAAUGUACAAAUUUGUUUCCGUCUGGGAGAGUGUAUUCUCAGGCAUUCCACUUGGGUGGACAAGGAUUUUUCCUUUCAGCUCAUUGCAACAUGGACCAGCAGAGCUCAUUUCAUUGUUUUGGGCUUUUCUUGGGAAUGCAGGAAAAAGGAUCAGUAUCUUUCGCAGUAGACUAUGAAUUUGCUGCAAGAUCAAAGCCUACAGAGGAAUUUGUUAGCAAAUAUAAGGGCAAUUACACAUUCACUGGAGGCAAGGCUGUUGGCUAUAGAAACUUGUUUGCAAUACCAUGGACUUCUUUCAUGGCCGAAGAUAGUCUAUACUUCAUAAAUGGAGUCCUCCAUCUUAGAGCUGAACUUACCAUCAGGCCCUGACCGACUCCGACUCCGACCACGUUCUGUUCUGUUCUGUAUCUAAAGGAUCGAAAGGCUUCAUAUGUGGUCAACCAGUGAACUCGACUCGGCUUCAUUUUCAAUGAAUUUCACCAUUUUCUUUUUCUGAAGCAAGAAAUAAGUUUUGAGAAAAAAGAGAUUGUUUCCAUUUAAUGAACUUGACAAAUCUUAUUAUACAGAUACAAAGAAAAGGGGACAUAUUGCCUCUUACAAACUAAGUGGAGUAGAGUACAAAAUGAUGAUUCAUAAGAGGAACCAUGCAUGUCGAAACACGGCGCCCGAUAACGCGCAUCUUAUUCUGCUCCAGCAAUCUUCUUCUUCAAUGCUUCAAUGUCAUCAGCUAGCUCCUUUCUGCUUGACUGAGGAAGCAAGAAGAAACAAACAACAUUCUUCAAGUCAAUGUCCAGUUGCAGAACCAACCAAGAGCUAUGAUUACAUUUCUAUGGUUUCUUAGAACUCUCAGAUUGCCAUUUUCAUCCAAUAAUCUCUUUAGAAACAUGUGACACGAACGUUUUAAUCUCGAACAAAACUUAGAAACCAUAGCAAAAUCUCAUCAAGGGUGAAGCUUGAGAAAGCAUCAAACAUUAAAAUGAUGACACAAUGCAGAUUUUGUUGUAAAUCACGAACCUCCGUAAUGGUAUAAUAUUGUCCACUUUGAGC
Molecule: RNA transcript, 2602 nt
Organism: Cucurbita moschata (crookneck pumpkin)
Lineage: Eukaryota; Viridiplantae; Streptophyta; Magnoliopsida; Cucurbitales; Cucurbitaceae
Gene name: BTB/POZ domain-containing protein POB1-like
Exons: 7
Source: RefSeq, a predicted model, not a curated record